GCUUAGAAGCAGCCACUCAUUAAAAGAGUGCGUAAUAGCUCACUGGUCGAGUGACUCUGCGCGGAAAAUAUAACGGGGCUAAGCAUGAAACCGAAGCUUGGGCUUGUACUUAGGUACAGGGGUAGGGGAGCGUCGAGUAUGGGGUGAAGUCAGAGCGGAAGCACUGGUGGACUGUACUGGAGUGAGAAUGCCGGAAUGAGUAGCGAGAAUUAUGUGGGAAUCAUAAUGGCCGAAAAUCUAAGGUUUCUUGGGGAAGGUUCGUCCGCCCAAGGUAAGUCGGGAGCUAAGCUCAGGCCGAGAGGCGUAGGCGAUGCACAUACGGUAGAAAUUCCGUAACCACCGAAACUUAAACAGAGGGACACUUCGAAAUAGCGGAACCCGGGCGUUGGUUGACCCGGGCGUAAGGGAGCGAAAUUAGAGUAGCGAAGUCCGCGAUGUUCGGAGGCGAGAAAAGCUCUGAGGUAUGCUAAGGUGCCCGUACCGCAAACCGACACAGGUAGAUGAGGAGAGAAUCCUAAGGCCAACGGGAGAAGGGUUGUUAAGGAACUCGGCAAAUUGACCCCGUAACUUCGGAAGAAGGGGAGCCCCCUACGGGGGGUCGCAGAGAAAUGGCCCAAGCAACUGUUUACCAAAAACACAGGUCUAUGCUAAAUCGAAAGAUGACGUAUAUGGGCUGACGCCUGCCCGGUGCCGGAAGGUUAAGAGGAGAUGUCAGGCAACGAAGCAUUGAAUUUAAGCCCCGGUAAACGGCGGCCGUAACUAUAACGGUCCUAAGGUAGCGAAAUUCCUUGUCAGGUAAGUUCUGACCCGCACGAAUGGCGUAAUGAUUUGGGCACUGUCUCAACAGCCCGCCCGGCGAAAUUGUAGUACUGGUGAAGAUGCCAGUUACCCGCAACUAGACGGAAAGACCCCAUGGAGCUUUACUGCAGCUUAAUACUGAAAUUCGGUAGUACAUGUACAGGAUAGGUGGGAGACUGAGAAAUACAGGCGUCAGCUUGUAUGGAGUCGCUGUUGGGAUACCACUCUUGUACUGCUGGGUUUCUAACCUGCGGCCGUGAAUCCGGUCGGGGGACACUGUUAGGCGGGCAGUUUGACUGGGGCGGUCGCCUCCCAAAAGGUAACGGAGGCGCUCAAAGGUUCGUUCAGCACGGACGGAAAUCGUGCAAUGAGUGUAAACGCAUAAACGAGCCUAACUGCGACACCGACGGGUGGAGCAGUAACGAAAGUUGGAGUUAGUGAUCCGGUGGUAUGUGAGUGGAAAUGCCAUCGCUCAACGGAUAAAAGCUACCCUGGGGAUAACAGGCUGAUCUCCCCCAAGCGUCCACAGCGACGGGGAGGUUUGGCACCUCGAUGUCGGCUCGUCGCAUCCUGGGGCUGAAUUCGGUCCCAAGGGUUUGGCUGUUCGCCAAUUAAAGC
RNAcentral lists this ribosomal RNA (1416 nucleotides) under human gut metagenome. Its description in RNAcentral is "bacterial LSU rRNA". It matches the Rfam family "Bacterial large subunit ribosomal RNA", at positions 1104 to 2594 of the family's 2925-position model. The record is from RNAcentral.